CUUUAGGAAUUGAAUUGAAUAAUUAUUACAUGUGCAUUGUAAUGUAUCAAAUAUAUUUGAUUAAAUACUCUUAAAGUACAGUAUUUUAUUCGGGAGUGUUAUGGUAAUUUUGAUUAACCAGAAUACUUUUUUUUUUAAAGUCAGUUGGUUCAUUUUUAGGGUCAGAUGCUAAGAAUAUAAUAUAACCCCAAUGUCAGUAGUUGGCACCUAUCGACGAAUAACUCCAUUUUAAUGGUAUUCUUUCAUAAAAUGAAACAAGUCAUAUUACUUUAUGGGGAGGGAAAAUCUUUAUUAAGGACAAAC
Molecule: long non-coding RNA, 303 nt
Filed under: Mytilus galloprovincialis (Mediterranean mussel)
Lineage: Eukaryota; Metazoa; Mollusca; Bivalvia; Mytilida; Mytilidae
Source: RNAcentral